Molecule: transfer RNA, 72 nt
Rfam family: tRNA
About the family: Transfer RNA (tRNA) molecules are approximately 80 nucleotides in length. Their secondary structure includes four short double-helical elements and three loops (D, anti-codon, and T loops).
UCCGAUGUAGUGUAACGGCUAUCACAGUACGCUCUCACCGUGCAGACCCGGGUUCGACUCCCGGCAUCGGAG